Long non-coding RNA from Triticum aestivum (bread wheat), 3194 nucleotides. RefSeq lists it as uncharacterized. The record is from RefSeq and is a predicted model, not a curated record. The transcript has 4 exons. NCBI's taxonomy places the organism in Eukaryota, Viridiplantae, Streptophyta, Magnoliopsida, Poales, Poaceae.
UAAAAAAACAGAACCCAUCUUGCGGCAUCUAAUUUGUACUCCUACCUCAAUGGAAAACAAAUCCACGUCUCUCUCGAAACCAAUUGAGGCAUGGAUCGGUGUUCUCAAGGGGCUUAUUGCAUCAAAAUUAGUUUCCUCAUCUCGAUCAGGAUUCAAUUCUGAAUCUUCUCACAUAUACGUACAACCUAUGGAUACAACCUAGAGAUCGAUCUUCAUCCUCUCCGAUAUUGUUGUGAUUAAUUCUGAAAUCUUUUGACCUACACACAAUCUAUGGAUACCUCAUGGAGAUCGGUCAGAGCAUAUACUCUUCUCAUUGGGUAAGCUUAUAAAUUAAGUACAUCCUAGAGAUCGGCCUUCGCCCUCUCCGAUAUUGUUGUGAUUAAUUCUGAAAUCUUUCGACAUACGCACAAUCUAUGGAUACCUCAUGGAGAUCCUUCAGAGCAUAUACUCUUCUCAUCAGGGUUAACAUCAUCAAUGGCCUGCCCCAGUCUCCAGUAAGGCUGAUGCCUUUUCUUGAUUUUUUUUGUCGCCGUUCUGACGCAAUCUCCUGUUCAAGGAAGUUCCUUGCCAAGCUUGCAAGUCCUGACCGUUGUAGGUCAGAGAAUGUUUUUCUGGGCAAUUGGUUUGUAAAAGCAAUGGCAAGUGAUAACUACUAAAGCAUUGAGUGUCGUUGGUGUUGCAGCACGUAUGGGGAUUGAUUUUCCUUCAAUUGUGCAUGACAACUACUUGAGCAUUGAGUAUCGUUGCUGUUGCAGUAUUAAAUUUCAAUGCCUUUUUCUAACAAUUUUAGGUUAAUCAGACUGGCGUGUGAAAUCUCGGUGCUAUCAACUACGAGUCAGAAUGGCAUGGUAGGUUAAGACCAGUUAUAGUGUAUUGAUAUUAAGGUCAGCACAAAGGAAAUCAUAUAUGUUCUAUUCAUAUACAAUUUUUAUGACUACAUAUUCCCUGACAAGAUAGUUUCAGAUUGUUUAUAUGUACUGAAUUGAAGCCCACCUGAACAUUACUGUUGUUGUUGUGGUGUCUUCAGGUAAUCAUUCCAAAUUGAUGCCCACUUGAACAUUAAUGUUGUUGUUGUGGUGUCUUCAGGUUAUCAUUCCAAAUUGAUGCCCACCUGAACGUUAAUGAUGUUGUUUUGGUGUCUUCUGGUGAUUGAUAUAAAGCAGAAUGUACUUCCCAAGAUAAUCUACUAACUCGGUUACAGUGUCUAAGAUUGUGCGCCAUGCUGACAGCGGCCACCGAUGUUUGCUUCGUCUCCAACCGUGAAAUGAUGUAUGCGUACAUAUCCAGUGGAACGCUACCCAGUCUCCAUCCUCGGCUUCGACGAUAGAGUUUAACAGCCAGACAUGCCAUUCUCACAAAGUGCUCACACUUCCCAGCCAAUGCCGCUGACUGGCUGCCUCCUCAAUUCGGGAAAAACUGACUACUUGAGGAAAAGUUGUAAGGUAUUAGUGCUUACAUAACCCUUUGCUCUGCUGAUACUCCGCUAAGGAUUUUAGGAGCAUCAUUUUUGUGCACAUUUCCCCUUUCGGGGUUGAAAGGUAUUAGUAUGGCUCUACACAGAAAGCUGCAUAGCAUGCCUAAUUUUGUACUUAACUUGCAGUUCUACAGAUCUACUACAAUUAUAUGAUCUCCUCAUACCAAAACUGGGCAGAUAUCACACAUGAUUUUCGCCUCUGUUUUUAUGUUGUGAAUUUCUGUAAUUUGUAAUACUUUGCUACUUGGGAUAAAGAGCAUGGUGAUUGCAAAGAUUUUCCUUUUCGUUUUUCCAAGGUAUUGGUGAUCUUCCAGUCCAUUCCCGCAGAGCACGCCUUUGGUUAGAUCGUCCACUCAGAGUAUUUCGAAGUACUACAUUUUGGUUGGCAGGGGAUUCUUACGGGGACACAUGAUUCACUUUAUUUCUUUCUGUUUUCAGACACAUGAAACUGCCAGACUGGAAGAAAAAGAAUCCGUGUGUAUAUAUGUCCAUUCUCACUGCAGUGAAACCUUCCUCUACAAAAGGUGCUGCCGUAAUAAUAGUUUCUAUAUUCUAAUAACUUUUGGUUGGACACUUGAUCUCCGUUAGUUAGUUGUUACUUGGAGAUAUAUUCAUUUGAUGCACACAAAAUUAAUCUUUGUACACAGUUACAUGGGUCACUAUUUUUUAAAUACAAAUUAUGGUUGUUUACAUGCAAGUCUAAGCAAUCUUUUGAAAAUGCCUUUCUAUUUCAGAGAUCACUUGUUUUUUUUCACAAAAUAUGCACUGCCAUGAGACUGCUUACAGUAGAAAUUAAUGUUCUAUAAAACUCAUGGCUGCUCAUUUGAAUAUUGUUAUCCCCCCAAAACAAAUGCUCAAUGUUUAGUACUUAAUUAUCUAUGCGUACUUUAUAUGUAUGAAGUAAAGUGAAUGUGCAUUUGUUCAAAUAUUGUACGACCCCCAAAAACAAAAAGGGGGCACACACAACUUUUUGAGAUUUAACUUUGACCAUCAAAUAGAGUAAAUAAUAUUAUGAGAUGACAGUUGGCACGAUCAACCACUUUAUUAGAACCUUCCCCGGUUGCACUCAUAUGCUAAAGAUUAUAGCAUCCGUCAUGUUAUAGCUAGAUCACAUGAUGAUACUGAUACUUUUGAAUUAUUUCACAACCCUAUGUCACCCAUUGCUGUACAACGGAUAUAGGAGUUUUUUUUUGAGAGAAAAGCUAUAGAAGUUGAUACAGAGUGUGAACAUUGUGAACGAUGCUAUACAAUAUGACAGCUGGUCAUUUCCACGGGUAACGGAAAAUAUUGUACUGUAUCAGAAGGGUAAUACCAAACCGUUAUUAGUGCUCCUCAACCUGCCCCAGCACCAUACAAAUGAAUACGAAAGUUGUGUUCUAUGUGAGGAAGGCACAAAUGAUACUAUUAUGCACAUCUUUUUAUCAUGUGAAUUCACUCAGAAUUUUUGGUGGAAUCGGGGUAUUGAAUGGGGUACUGAUCUGGGACAGUUUGCUCAAUGAGUCAAAAAAGAGGAACAACAUCAUAUCUUUCAAAGAAAUCCUGAUCACUGGAUGGUGGUCUAAACCCAGCCUAAAGGAGGAGAUGCACUUUUGCUUAGAUCAUUUGUAUUUUAUGUUCUUCUUCUAUACAUAUAAACAUGUAAAUGGAAAUGAGUCAUAGUUGGUGUUUUCCCUACUAUAUUUUACUCGAAUAAAUAGACUAAAUAAUCCAAAGUCAUGUA